GCAUGCCUGUUCGAGCGUCAUUAUAACCAAAUCAAGCCCGGCUUGGUGUUGGGGUUCGCGGCUCCGCGGCCCCUAAAAUCAGUGGCGGCGCCGUUCGGCUCUAAGCGUAGUAAUUUUCUCGCUAUGGGGUCGUGCGGCUGCCCGCCAGAAAACCUCUAUCGGUUGACCUCGGAUCAGGUAGGGAUACCCGCUGAACUUAA
This 200-nucleotide unclassified non-coding RNA is filed under the name soil metagenome. RNAcentral describes it as "partial contains 5.8S ribosomal RNA, internal transcribed spacer 2, and large subunit ribosomal RNA". The record is from RNAcentral.